This 87-nucleotide transfer RNA is filed under the name bacterium. RNAcentral's name for it is "tRNA-Ser". It matches the Rfam family "tRNA". Rfam says of the family: Transfer RNA (tRNA) molecules are approximately 80 nucleotides in length. The record is from RNAcentral.
GGAGGGUUGGCCGAGUGGUCGAAGGCGGGCGCCUCGAAAGCGUCUAAGCCCGUGAGGGCUUCCGGGGUUCGAAUCCCUGACCCUCCG